This 473-nucleotide ribosomal RNA is filed under the name uncultured bacterium. Its description in RNAcentral is "bacterial SSU rRNA". It matches the Rfam family "Bacterial small subunit ribosomal RNA", at positions 11 to 479 of the family's 1533-position model. The record is from RNAcentral.
GUUUGAUCCUGGCUCAGAUUGAACGCUGGCGGCAUGCUUUUAUACAUGCAAGUCGAACGGUAACGCGGGCUUCGGCCUGGCGACGAGUGGCGAACGGGUGAGUAAUACAUCGGAACGUGCCCAGUAGUGGGGGAUAGCUCGGCGAAAGCCGAAUUAAUACCGCAUACGCCCUAUGGGGGAAAGCGGGGGAUCGCAAGACCUCGCGCUAUUGGAGCGGCCGAUGCCAGAUUAGCUUGUUGGGUGGGGUAAAGGCUUACCAAGGCAACGAUCUGUAGCUGGUCUGAGAGGACGACCAGCCACACUGGGACUGAGACACGGCCCAGACUCCUACGGGAGGCAGCAGUAGGGAAUUUUGGACAAUGGGCGAAAGCCUGAUCCAGCAAUGCCGCGUGUGUGAUGAAGGCCUCGGGUUGUAAGCACUUUUGGUAGGAACGAAAAGGUCUGUGCUAAUACCAUGGAUCGAUGACGGUACC